GCCCUUGUAGCUUAGUGGUAAGAGCGCCGUGCUUAUAUCAAAAGGAUAUACCAGAGUCACGCGGAGGUCGCGAGUUCAAUCCUCGCCUUGGGCA
Phascolomyces articulosus is the source of this 94-nucleotide non-coding RNA. Lineage: Eukaryota; Fungi; Mucoromycota; Mucoromycetes; Mucorales; Lichtheimiaceae. The record is from the annotation of a GenBank genome assembly.